GUAGGAGCUGCCGAAGGCUGCGAUCUUUUGAUUUGGUUUUUUUAAAGACAAAAUCAAAAGAUCGCAGCCUUCGGCAGCUCCUAC
This 84-nucleotide non-coding RNA is filed under the name Pseudomonas jessenii. Lineage: Bacteria; Pseudomonadati; Pseudomonadota; Gammaproteobacteria; Pseudomonadales; Pseudomonadaceae. The record is from RNAcentral.